GACGAACGCAGGCGGCGUGCUUAACACAUGCAAGUCGAACGGAAAGGCCCUGCUUUUGUGGGGUGCUCGAGUGGCGAACGGGUGAGUAACACGUGAGUAACCUGCCCUUGACUUUGGGAUAACUUCAGGAAACUGGGGCUAAUACCGGAUAGGAGCUCCUGCUGCAUGGUGGGGGUUGGAAAGUUUCGGCGGUUGGGGAUGGACUCGCGGCUUAUCAGCUUGUUGGUGGGGUAGUGGCUUACCAAGGCUUUGACGGGUAGCCGGCCUGGGAGGGUGACCGGCCACAUUGGGACUGAGAUACGGCCCAGACGCCUACGGGAGGCAGCAGUGGGGAAUAUUGCACAAUGGGCGGAAGCCUGAUGCAGCAACGCCGCGUGCGGGAUGACGGCCUUCGGGUUGUAAACCGCUUUCGCCUGUGACGAAGCGUGAGUGACGGUAAUGGGUAAAGAAGCACCGGCUAACUACGUG
Molecule: ribosomal RNA, 468 nt
Filed under: uncultured bacterium
Lineage: Bacteria
Description: partial 16S ribosomal RNA
Rfam family: Bacterial small subunit ribosomal RNA
Source: RNAcentral